Molecule: ribosomal RNA, 723 nt
Filed under: alpha proteobacterium SCGC AAA163-D03
Lineage: Bacteria; Pseudomonadati; Pseudomonadota; Alphaproteobacteria
Description: bacterial SSU rRNA
Rfam family: Bacterial small subunit ribosomal RNA
Source: RNAcentral
UACUUAGUGGCAGACGGGUGAGUAACAUGUGGGUAUCUACCCUUUGGCCUGGAAUAACACGAGGAAACUUGUGCUAAUACCGGAUAAGUCUUUACGGAGAAAGCUUUAUGCACCAUUGGAUGAGCCCGCACUUGAUUAGUUUGUUGGUAGGGUAAUGGCCUACCAAGACUAUGAUCAAUAGCUGAUUUGAGAGGAUGAUCAGCCACAUUGGGACUGAGACACGGCCCAAACUCCUACGGGAGGCAGCAGUGGGGAAUCUUGCACAAUGGAGGAAACUCUGAUGCAGCGAUGCCGCGUGAGUGAAGAAGGCCUUUGGGUUGUAAAGCUCUUUCGUCGGGGAAGAAAAUGACUGUACCCGAAUAAGAAGGUCCGGCUAACUUCGUGCCAGCAGCCGCGGUAAUACGAAGGGACCUAGCGUAGUUCGGAAUUACUGGGCUUAAAGAGUUCGUAGGUGGUUGAAAAAGUUGGUGGUGAAAUCCCAGAGCUUAACUCUGGAACUGCCAUCAAAACUUUUCAGCUAGAGUAUGAUAGAGGAAAGCAGAAUUUCUAGUGUAGAGGUGAAAUUCGUAGAUAUUAGAAAGAAUACCAAUUGCGAAGGCAGCUUUCUGGAUCAUUACUGACACUGAGGAACGAAAGCAUGGGUAGCGAAGAGGAUUAGAUACCCUCGUAGUCCAUGCCGUAAACGAUGUGUGUUAGACGUUGGAAAUUUAUUUUCAGUGUCGC